This is a long non-coding RNA of Mus musculus (house mouse), 5917 nucleotides long. RefSeq annotates it as predicted gene, 39221. The record is from RefSeq and is a predicted model, not a curated record. NCBI's taxonomy places the organism in Eukaryota, Metazoa, Chordata, Mammalia, Rodentia, Muridae. The transcript is spliced from 4 exons.
UCUCUCUGUGUGUGUGUGUGCGCGCGCGUGCGCGUGCGCGCGCAUGUGCAGGUGAAGGCCAGAGGUCAAUGCUAGGUGUCUCCCUUGAUCCCUCCUCACAUUCUCUUUGAGACAGGGUCUCUCACUGGUACUUGCUGCCUAGAUCGCAGGCGCUAGGGAGCUGCCACUCGCUGCCCUCACUGCACUAGGGUCACAGAGGCACAGAACUACGCUGUCUUACUCAGUGUUUCUACUGCAGCAACGAAGACACCAUGAGCAAAAAGCAAGUUGGGGAGGCUUGCACUUCCAGAUCAUUGGAAGAAGUCAGGACAGGAACUCAGUCAGGGUAGGAACACGGAGGCAGGAGCUGAUGCAGAGGCCAGAGAGGGGUGCUGCUUGCUGGCCAGCUUCCCCAUGACUUCUUCAGCUUGCUUUCUUAUAGAACCUAGGACUACCAGCCCAGGGAUGGCACCACCCACAGUGAGCCCUGUCCUCACCCUCUGCUCACUGAUUGAGAUAAUGCUCUACAGCUGCAUUUCACAGAGGCAUUUCCUUAACUGAGGCUCCUUCCUCUCGGAUGACUCCAGCUUAUGUCAAGUUGAUCCACAAAACCAACCAGUGCAUAUACCUAACUUUGAUAGCUGCUGGGGAUCCAAGUUCAGCCCCUCAUGCUUGCUCGGGAUUAUAGGUGGGCCCAGCUUUUUACGUGGGUGCUAGAAAUUCAAAGUCAAGUUCUUUCACAAGCACUUAACUGAGUUAUCUCCCUGACCCCUGGGUUUUGUGGUUAUUGUUUGUUGGAUGUUGUUGUUUGUUUGUUUGUUUCUAUUUUCGUUGGCCUCUUUAGAAACGGGCCCUCUUGUGCAUACUAGUCUGGAACCCAGUUACCUCAGCUUCCACAGAGCUUGUGGUUAGCUUGAUACAGAAUCUCAUGAUUUUGUCCAAUCUGGUCUGGAACUUGGGCUCAGAUGAUCCUCUUGCCUGUGCAUCUUGUAGUGCUGAGAGUAUAUGUAUACACCAGUGCUCUCAGCUUUGAGGUGUGCAAGUUUUAAUAUUUUUAAGAAAACUUUUUCUUGGUUCUUUGUGAAUUUCACAUUAUGCACCCCAAUCCCACUCCAUCUCUCCCUCCACCCAUACCUAUCCUCCGCCCAUGCAACCUCACCAUAAAUAGAAAAAAUAAAAAUCUCAUUGUGGAAGCUGUAAUGUGUCAGUGUGUCCCACAGUGUACCCUUUUGUCCACACUUCUAUUGCAAAUGUUCAUUGUAAGACUUGGUGGCCUGGUACAAUGCUGCCUGCUUCAGCUGCUCUAUCAAUACUGGAACUUCACUGAGAGUCCUCUCAGAUAUCCUGUUGUUGCUGUGUCAUGGAGAUCCUGUAGUUUUGGAUCUGUGAGACUGGUCCCUUCCAGCAGUUCAUUGAUGGAAUAGAUGUUGGCACAGGCCAAAUCAAAGCCCUGGAUCUGGGCCAGAGAGAGAGAGAGAGAGCUGAAGUGGUCAAACCACAGGCUCUCCUGCUCUCAUGCCCUUGAGGCUGGCUCACCAGAAACCACCACCACCAGGACCAGUUCUACCCUGCUGCCCAGCACACAAGUUUCUAGUCCAGCCCUUUAAUGCUCACACACUUGGAUCUGGCUUGACUGUGUUCCAACCACCAGGAUCAGCUCUAUUGUACUGCCCAAGCAAGGUCCAGAGCCUACUCUCCUGAGUGCUGAAGCAGGGUCUCGUGAGUGAGUGUCUGGGGACAUCUCCAGAGUGGUCUCAGGAAUACUAUGCUUCGAUGUGCUAUCAACACUGCAAAACUAAAAAGUACCAACACAAUGAAAAGAAAAAUGCACAGUGAAACAAGAAAUGGUGGACCUUCUAAUAUCCAGUGUGAUGGUUUGUGUAUGCUUGACACAGGGAGUGACACUAUUAGAAGGUAUGGCCCUGUUGGAGUCGGUGUGUCAUUGUGGGCAAGGGCUUUAAGACCCUCAUCCUAACUUCCUGGAAGCCAGUAUUCUGCUAGCAGCCUUCAGAUGAAGAUGUAGAACUCUCAGCUCCUACACCUUGCCUGCCUGGAUUUUGCCAUGUUCCCACCUUGAUAAUGGACUGAACCUGUAAGCCAGCCCCAAUUAAAUGUUGUCCUUAUAAGAGUUGGCUUGGUCAUGGUGUCUGUUCACAGCAGUUAAUCCUUAAGACACCCAGGCAUAAAUCAUGACUAUAACACGGAGGCAGAAGGCCAACAAAAAAGAAAGUGCAAGCUUUGAACAACACCCUAAGCCCCAUUAGCAUAGACCAUGGAGCAUCAAACAAUCUCUCAAAAUGUAAGAGUAAAGCAGAAAAGGUACUUUCUAAACACAGUAGAAGUUAGAAAUCAGUAAUAAAGCUUUGAAAUUCACAAAUAUGAGCCAGGUGGUGGGAGCGGUGCACGACUUUAAUCCCAGCACUCAGGAGGCAGAAGCAGAUCUCUGUGAGUUCAAGGCCAGCCUAGUAUACAGGUGAGUUUCAGGACAGCCAGGGCUACACAAAGAAACCCUGUCUCAAAACAAAACAAACAAACAAAACAAAAAAGAAAUUUACAAAUGUGUAAAAAUUAAACAAUAUUUUCCUAAAUAACCAAUGAAUCAGAGAAGUGAUCUCAAAAUUAAGAAAAAAAAUGAAGCCAGGCGUGGUGGCGCACGCCUUUAAUCCCAGCACUUGGAAGGCAGAGGCAGGUGGAUUUCUGGGUUUGGGGCCAGCCUGGUCUACAAAGUGAGUUCCAGGACAGCCAGAGCUAUGGAGAGAGAUCCUGUCUCAAAGAAAAAGAAAAAAAGGAAAAAAAAAAAAAGAAUGGAAAUACAACAUAGCCAAAGUAAGUGGAAAUACAUAGCUUUAAACAUCCACAUUAAGAAAAAUGGGGGAAGGUUGGCUCUGUGGAUAAAAACACCUGCCACAAAGGCUGAUAGCCAAUCCUGGGACCCAUGUGGAGAGAACCAACUCCAACACUUUAUUCUCUGACCUCUGUAACUCACGCAUCCUGAGUUAUUUACCUGUAAAUAAACAUAAUAAAAGAAAAACAAUAAGGCUCCCAAGAUAUUGAUCUGCUCUUGGUAGCAUUUACAAAACUGGUUUUUAAGAAAACAACAAUAAUGCUUUGUCAUAAUUAUAUUAUGGGCAGCAAAGUUUGUCAGGCUUUUAACUAUGUAUAGAAUUGAGUCCUGAAAUCAAGUCAUUAGAUUAGAAAGUCUGUUUUUGACUAAACAAUGUCUGAAUGUUAUACAAAAGCAAAAAAUAAAAUCCAACACUUACUCAAGACUGGUAAAACUUUCCUUCUGAGUGACAGCCAAAACUUAGAGCCCUAAACCAAUGAGGACUGAGAGCUAAAAGGCUAGCCAAGAGUUUGACCCUUGCCUUCCAAGGGCAGCCAAGAACUAAGAAUGACGGGAAGCUUUCAGAAGGGAGUCACCAGAGGAAAAGGUCCCCUGUUUCCAAGGGAAGCCACAUGGUUAGCAAAACCCUUGCUUGUCCAUGCAGAUGGAAAGGCUGGUAGAAAACAAUGAUAAGAACCUAGGGGGCUCUUCAAAAUUUCCUACCACUAACCCCUGUGGAGCUCAAACCAUGUUCAAAUGACGGAUCAGUAGCAGAAGGUUGACUUUUUGGUCACCUUGUCUUGGUUAGGGUUUCACUGCUGUGAAGAGACACCAUAACCACAGCAAGUCUUAUAAAGGACAGCAUUUAACUGGGGCUGGCUUACAGGUUCAGAAGUCCAGUCCAUUAUCAUCAUGGCUGGAAACAUGGCAGUGUGCAGGCAGACAUGGUGCUGGAGGAGCUGAGAGUUCUACACCUUGAUCCAAAAGCAGCCAGCUCUUCCUCACUGGGCAGAGCUUGAGCACUAGGAGCCCUCAAAGCCCACCUACAGUGACACACUUCCUCCAACAAGGCCACACCUCCUAAUAGUGCCACUUCCCAUGGGCCAAGCAUAUUCAAACCAUCACGAACCUAUGUGCUCUUAAACACCCAAUAGGAAAGUAUUAAAAAUGACAUAACAAGACCAAGCUCUACAGGAAGCAGUUAACCUGUGUUGGCUCUGUGAAGGUAUUCUUGCAGGUGAGCAGCUGUAGACUAUCCAAAGGAGACUUAACCAGGUCUUAUUAAAAGUAUUUCAACAAUUGUAAAACUCCAGAAAUUUACUAAAGUGGUUUCACCUGUCAAAGAUAAACAGUUUCUUUGUUGUAGCAAUAGACAGCCACUUAGGGGGCUCCAUCAUUAAGAGCACUGGCUACUCUUCCAAAGGAUCUGGGAUUCAAUUCCCAGUGCCCACAUGGUGGCUCACAGACAUCUGAAACUCUAGUCCCAGGGAAUCCAACAAGGUCUUCUAGCUUCCAGGGGCACUAGACAUGCAUGCAGUGCAUAGAUAUGUAUGCCGGUAAAACAUCUAAACACAUAAAACAAAGAUUUAAGUAAAUUAGGUAAAGCCAGGCAGUGGUGGCUCAUGCCUUUAAUCCCAGUACUUGGGAGGCAGAGGCAGGCAGAUUUCUGAGUUCGAGGCCAGCCUGGUCUACAGAGUGAGUUCCAGGACAGCCAGGGACACACAGAGAAACCCUGUCUCGAAAAACCAAAAAAAAAAAAAGAAAGGUAAAUUUUUAAAGUAAAUUAGCUUUCAUACCUGCUUCUAGAUUAAGAACUCUGGUCACCCAACCACAAUGGCCGUAAUUGUAUCCUUAUACUCGUUCCUCUUGCAUCAUGAUUCAAAGAGCUCAGAGAUUCCUUCAUGGCUGUCACAAGUUACAUGUGCCUCACUUGACUCUCUUCUACUGUCUUGUUCCCUUAAAGUCUGCUUCAGGGAGCACUCUUGUCUACCCAUCUUUACUUCUCACAAAGAGAGCACUCCUCCAACCCUUGGAACACUCUCUAGACAUCACCCUUUGACCUCUGCCUUAUGCACUUACUUGGAAGCUUUGUUUAAAGAAGCCAAGAAGUCAUUAAGAGCCGAGUCCUCCAGAUGUGUAGGUUUGCCUGUGUCUGUGUCUUGAUGUAUUUUUGUUACAUACGUGUGCUGGUUGGGUUUUGUCAACUUGACCCAAACCUCAAUAUAUCUGGGAAUUGCCUCCAGAAGACUGUCCUGUAGGCAAGUCUGUGAAGGCAUUUUCUUGGUUGUGGAUUGAUGUGGGAGGGCCUAGCCUAGGAGUGAUACCAACCCAAGGAAGUAGUCCUGAGUUGUAUAAGAAAACAAACGGAGAAAACCAGUAAGUAGCAUUCCCCUGUCCUCUGUGACUUCUUUCUCAGUCCCUGUCCCCAGGCUUUUGUCUUGUGUGGGAAUCCAGACAGACUCAAGACUUUCUCAGAGGCACUGAAGGAAUAAUAAAGGGAGUGUUAUUUCUGUGUCUUUGUCCAGAGGUGGAGUUGGCAAGGUCAUUGUGAGGCCGGAGCCAGUGCCUCAAAGGUUGUGGUUUCUGAGAACCCAACUCCUCCCCCUGGGCUGUGGUUAUGAGUCCUAAGACAGCCGUGUCUGAAGUACCACAUGUUCUCUUUGCCAGUGUUGUCUGACUCCCUCCUGACCUCGGGCCAUCUCUCUGAUAAACAGUUUAUAGGAUGCUGUACUUCUUAAUAAACUUGCGUGGCAUGAGCUUAGGCAAGACCCCCUGGUCCCAGCUAAUGCCUUUGUCUUCCUUAUUUCUCAUUCCCUGUCCUCUGAACUCAAUACCUCACCAUUCAGCACACUUAUUCUUGUGGGUCUGGGUCAGUCUCGAACUCCUGCCUUGGAUUCCCUCAGUGAGCUGUGACUAGGGAUGUGUAAGCCAAAGAAACCCUGUCCUACCGAGUUGCUUUUGGCCAUAGUGUUUAUCACAGCAACAGAAAGCAAACUAGAAUAACACCUUUAGACAAAUGUUCUGUCACAUGUUUUUAUGAUAAAGUCCCCAAAAAAGGGUUUAAUGAAUUCUGAUUCAAAAAUGUAAACAAAUGUGAGAAGUUAGUGAUUUUAA